Molecule: ribosomal RNA, 433 nt
Filed under: uncultured bacterium
Lineage: Bacteria
Description: partial 16S ribosomal RNA
Rfam family: Bacterial small subunit ribosomal RNA
Source: RNAcentral
AGCGAACGCUGGCGGCAGGCCUAACACAUGCAAGUCGAACGAACUCUCCGGAGUUAGUGGCUGACAGGGGAGGAACACGGGGGAACGUGCCUGUUGGUUCGGAAUAACACAGGUAAACGUGGGCUAAUACCGAAAGUGUCCUGCGGGGGAAAUAUAUAACGACAUGGGUGAGGCCGGCGACUGUUUAGCUAGUUGGGGAGGUAACGGCUCAUCACGGGGAAGAUCGGUAGCUGGGUUGAGAGGCUGACCCGCCACACUGGGACUGAGACACGGCCCAGACUCUUACGGGAGGCAGCAGUGGCGAAUCCAGCGAAAUCGGGGAAAGCAUGACGCCGCCAGGCUGCGUGAAUGAUGAAGUUCUUAGGAUUGUAAAAUUCUUUAACCGGGGACGAUAAUGACGGUACCCGGAGAAGAAGCCCCGGCUAACUUCGUG